AUUGAACGCUGGCGGCAUGCCUUACACAUGCAAGUCGAACGGCAGCACGGAGCUUGCUCUGGUGGCGAGUGGCGAACGGGUGAGUAAUAUAUCGGAACGUACCCUAGAGUGGGGGAUAACGUAGCGAAAGUUACGCUAAUACCGCAUACGAUCUAAGGAUGAAAGUGGGGGAUCGCAAGACCUCAUGCUCGUGGAGCGGCCGAUAUCUGAUUAGCUAGUUGGUAGGGUAAAAGCCUACCAAGGCAUCGAUCAGUAGCUGGUCUGAGAGGACGACCAGCCACACUGGAACUGAGACACGGUCCAGACUCCUACGGGAGGCAGCAGUGGGGAAUUUUGGACAAUGGGCGAAAGCCUGAUCCAGCAAUGCCGCGUGAGUGAAGAAGGCCUUCGGGUUGUAAAGCUCUUUUGUCAGGGAAGAAACGGUGGGAGCUAAUAUCUCUUGCUAAUGACGGUACCUGAAGAAUAAGCACCGGCUAACUACGUGCCAGCAGCCGCGGUAAUACGUAGGGUGCAAGCGUUAAUCGGAAUUACUGGGCGUAAAGCGUGCGCAGGCGGUUUUGUAAGUCUGAUGUGAAAUCCCCGGGCUCAACCUGGGAAUUGCAUUGGAGACUGCAAGGCUAGAAUCUGGCAGAGGGGGGUAGAAUUCCACGUGUAGCAGUGAAAUGCGUAGAUAUGUGGAGGAACACCGAUGGCGAAGGCAGCCCCCUGGGUCAAGAUUGACGCUCAUGCACGAAAGCGUGGGGAGCAAACAGGAUUAGAUACCCUGGUAGUCCACGCCCUAAACGAUGUCUACUAGUUGUCGGGUCUUAAUUGACUUGGUAACGCAGCUAACGCGUGAAGUAGACCGCCUGGGGAGUACGGUCGCAAGAUUAAAACUCAAAGGAAUUGACGGGGACCCGCACAAGCGGUGGAUGAUGUGGAUUAAUUCGAUGCAACGCGAAAAACCUUACCUACCCUUGACAUGGCUGGAAUCCUUGAGAGAUCAGGGAGUGCUCGAAAGAGAACCAGUACACAGGUGCUGCAUGGCUGUCGUCAGCUAAAAUCGUGAGAUGUUGGGUUAAGUCCCGCAACGAGCGCAACCCUUGUCAUUAGUUGCUACGAAAGGGCACUCUAAUGAGACUGCCGGUGACAAACCGGAGGAAGGUGGGGAUGACGUCAAGUCCUCAUGGCCCUUAUGGGUAGGGCUUCACACGUCAUACAAUGGUACAUACAGAGCGCCGCCAACCCGCGAGGGGGAGCUAAUCGCAGAAAGUGUAUCGUAGUCCGGAUUGUAGUCUGCAACUCGACUGCAUGAAGUUGGAAUCGCUAGUAAUCGCGGAUCAGCAUGUCGCGGCGCAUACAAGCCCGGGUCU
This 1352-nucleotide ribosomal RNA is filed under the name uncultured bacterium. RNAcentral's name for it is "bacterial SSU rRNA". It matches the Rfam family "Bacterial small subunit ribosomal RNA", at positions 28 to 1381 of the family's 1533-position model. The record is from RNAcentral.